UACAGAGGGGGCAAGCGUUGUUCGGAAUUACUGGGCGUAAAGGGCGCGUAGGCGGCCUGCUAAGUCGAACGUGAAAUCCCCAGGCUCAACCUGGGAGCUGCGUCCGAUACUGGAUGGCUUGAAUCCGGGAGAGGGAUGCAGAAUUCCAGGUGUAGCGGUGAAAUGCGUAGAGAUCGGGAGGAACACCGGUGGCGAAGGCGGUCUUCUGGACGGUGACUGACGCUGAGGCGCGAAAGCGUGGGGAGCAAACGGG
This 253-nucleotide ribosomal RNA is filed under the name uncultured bacterium. RNAcentral describes it as "partial 16S ribosomal RNA". It matches the Rfam family "Bacterial small subunit ribosomal RNA", at positions 524 to 776 of the family's 1533-position model. The record is from RNAcentral.